Long non-coding RNA from Neltuma alba, 450 nucleotides. RefSeq lists it as uncharacterized. The record is from RefSeq and is a predicted model, not a curated record. The transcript is spliced from 2 exons. Lineage: Eukaryota; Viridiplantae; Streptophyta; Magnoliopsida; Fabales; Fabaceae.
UUGAAGGUACAAGGUGAAUUUGAAGGCGAAUUCCUCCUUCGAAAAGCUUGGAAACUAUAUGAGAGAGACACACACAUCGAGUUGGUGGAUGAUACCUUGAACCCUAAUGAUUAUAAUGCAGAAGAAGUGAAGAAAAUCAUAGAGAUUGGUCUGCUAUGCACCCAAGCAUCUGCAGAAUUAAGGCCAUCAAUGUCUGAAGUCAUUGUUCUGCUUCAAGGCAAGGGCUUAUUAGAGAAUAUGAGACCCACCAUGCCAAUCUUGAUUGAAACUUAAUACUAGAGGUCCUGUACCACAUCUCUACACUAAUUCCUCUAUGUCAACCGUCAUGGCCUUCGCUAUUUUAUUAUCGGCAAACUAAUGUAUAUUUUUCAUUUAAAGAGUAAGAGUAUUGUUGGAGACAUUCUUCUGGUUCUUAAUAUAAGACCUAAUUAAUUAAGUUAAGUAGAUUAA